AGUGAUACUAGCUAUAUGGAUAUGCCAAAGAGAAACCAUAAAGUGCUUCCUUUGAGCAAAAAAGUGAAAGUUCUCAAUAAGGAAAGAAAAUAUUGCAUGUCAAAGUUGCUAAGAUCU
Long non-coding RNA from Sapajus apella (tufted capuchin), 117 nucleotides. RefSeq lists it as uncharacterized. The transcript has 4 exons. NCBI's taxonomy places the organism in Eukaryota, Metazoa, Chordata, Mammalia, Primates, Cebidae. The record is from RefSeq and is a predicted model, not a curated record.